UACGGGAGGCAGCAGUAGGGAAUCUUCCACAAUGGGCGAAAGCCUGAUGGAGCAACGCCGCGUGAGUGAAGAAGGUUUUCGGAUCGUAAAACUCUGUUUAAGGGAAGAACAAGUACAGUAGUAACUGGCUGUACCUUGACGGUACCUUAUUAGAAAGCCACGGCUAACUACGUGCCAGC
RNAcentral lists this ribosomal RNA (179 nucleotides) under uncultured Bacillus sp. Its description in RNAcentral is "partial 16S ribosomal RNA". It matches the Rfam family "Bacterial small subunit ribosomal RNA", at positions 340 to 512 of the family's 1533-position model. The record is from RNAcentral. Lineage: Bacteria; Bacillati; Bacillota; Bacilli; Caryophanales; Bacillaceae.